RNAcentral lists this small RNA (28 nucleotides) under Bombyx mori (domestic silkworm). RNAcentral describes it as "ovarian small RNA-37644". The record is from RNAcentral. Lineage: Eukaryota; Metazoa; Arthropoda; Insecta; Lepidoptera; Bombycidae.
UUGAAUAGAGGGCCGUUUGGGGCCGGAA